ACCCAUCUAAGUGUUUUAUUUCUUCUCAUAAAACAGUUUUCUAUGGCAUCUCGUGCUCAUCUCGUGUUCAUAAAGUGUUAUACAGUCAGAUGGAGAAUAAUGAAUUUGGAUCGGAUCUGGUGAUGAUCGCUCCCGUUUCGUAAGGUGGGCUAAUAAUUAAAGGAGCAUUGUUAGUGGGCCUGUUGCUGUUAAGUUCGCGGGCUUGUGGGCUUCGUGGACGGAAGUCUGGAAGGCUGGUCAUAUCCCAGCAUUGUAAGUGGUGUUUGUGUUAAGAAAGGGCUUUUAACAAUUGUUCUUAGUUCCAGAUUCUUCCUCUCGAUUCUCUCUGUUAUUCACCUAGGGUUUCUCAUAGUUUUUUUGUUUUCAGUCGAUUAUUGAUCUUGUGUUAAAUCUUGCGUCUGUUAGUUCUUGUGAGAGUUUUAGAUCAUCGGUGUCUGGUUUGUUUGUUGUGACGGAGAUCAAGAAUUGAAAGUGUAGUUUUACUAUGGUGGCUGGCGACGCCGUUGAUGUCAUCUAGGGUUUUUACUUACAGCAGCCAAAGUCCAAAAGAAACCAUGGCGUUUGAUUUCUACAUCAACACAAUCUUCGUCUACGUUCAAUGACGUUUUCCUAAGCUUUAGAUUCGAAUCGACACUGCGAUUGUUUCCGGUAGGGACCUGAAAAAGCUGAAACACAAGCGUAUCUACCACCCGGAUUAUAACACAUUGCUUGCGGGUGGGCAAAGGUCGUACGAAUAUGCGGCAAGGAUUGGAGAAGAGAUUGGUGGGUUGAGCAAGUUCUGGGCCAACAGCCCUCAUCCGAAGGGGUUCAUCCCUGGUGCUGGGCACUGGGAAAGGAUUAUAGAACAAGGCAACGGAAGGUGCUUUUACGAUGUUAAGCCUCGGAAUAUAAGCGAAAAUGAGAACCUCAAAGGCCUCCAAUUUUAACGAGUCGUUUUUUUCAUGCCAAAAGAGCCUAAAGUUGAUGAGGUUGAGAACCUCCUUGACCAUGGCAAACACCUACUCGACGCCAAACAAAACGCACAACUUCACUUUUUUGCCAACGCAAAAGCCAAGUAUCACGCGUGGGACCUUGAGAAGACCGCCAGGAAAUACGGCUUGUUUUGCAACAAGCAAAUCCGUAUACCAUGGGGUGGGUUAAAGCGGAUUGGAUUAUAUAACAUCGUUUCAUUUUCGUUUGAGGAGGAGGCCGAGGCCGAGGAGGAGGAGGAGGAAGCGGGAGGAAAGUGAUUUCGUUUUCGGAAACUGUCUUUUGUAAACGCGUAGUAGUAGUAGUAGUUAACUGCCUUAGUACGUGUAUAUAUAUGACUUGGUCAAAACCAUUGUGAAGGUAGUUAAGAAGUUGUGAUUAAUGCUACACUUGCAUCCUUCAAUGGGUGAAAUUUGUUCCGAGUAAAGUUUUACUACACUUUCUUGCA
Molecule: long non-coding RNA, 1417 nt
Organism: Helianthus annuus (common sunflower)
Lineage: Eukaryota; Viridiplantae; Streptophyta; Magnoliopsida; Asterales; Asteraceae
Exons: 4
Source: RefSeq, a predicted model, not a curated record